Molecule: RNA transcript, 4896 nt
Organism: Hibiscus syriacus
Lineage: Eukaryota; Viridiplantae; Streptophyta; Magnoliopsida; Malvales; Malvaceae
Gene name: ARF guanine-nucleotide exchange factor GNOM-like
Exons: 5
Source: RefSeq, a predicted model, not a curated record
UUUUGUAAAUUAUGAAAUCUUACUUUCAUUUUCAGUCCAUCUCAAGACACCGCUUUGCUUUUCUCGUUUCCCAUUUCCUCUUUUUUCAAUAAUCUCACACAGAGGGAAAUCAAUUCGUUGUUGGAUCUCACUAAGGUUAUGCUCUGGUGGGAUCCCUGCGCCUUUCUUUCUAACAGUUGGUAAAUAUAUAAAGGCCUUAGGUUCCAGAAGGAUAUUACACAGAAAUGGGGCGUCUCAAGCUGCAGCCUGGGAUCAAGGCAAUUGAGGAAGAACCUGAGGACUAUGAUAUUACAUGUUCUAACAAAGCUACUUUAGCAUGUAUGAUUAAUUCGGAAGUAGGUGCUGUAUUAGCUGUCAUGAGGAGAAAUGUAAGAUGGGGUGGUCGAUACAUGUCAAGUGACGAUCAGCUAGAACACUCUUUAAUUCAGUCAUUGAAGGCAUUACGAAAGCAAAUUUUCUUGUGGCAGAAUCAGUGGCAUACCAUCAACCCUGUUGCGUAUCUUCAGCCUUUUUUAGAUGUGAUUCAAUCUGAUGAAACUGGUGCAUCAAUCACUGGUGUUGCUCUAUCUUCGGUUCACAAAAUUUUAACCCUUGAUGUAAUUGAUCAAAAUACUGUAAAUGUUGAAGAAGCUAUGCGUUUGGUAGUUGAUUUUGUGACUAGCUGCCGAUUUGAGGUGACUGACCCUGCCUCGGAAGAAGUGGUACUGAUGAAGAUACUUCAGGUUCUUCUUGCUUGCAUGAAAAGUAAAGCCUCUAUUAUGUUGAGCAAUCAGCAUGUUUGCACAAUCGUGAACACUUGCUUUCGAAUAGUUCACCAAGCAGAGAAGAAAGGUGAAUUGUUGCAGCGUAUAGCUCGCCACACAAUGCAUGAACUUGUUAGGUGUAUAUUUUCACACCUUUCAAAUGUUGAGAACACAAAGCAUGCCUUGAUUAACAGAAGUAGCACUGCUAAACUUGAGCUUGGUGGGAUAAAUAGUGAUUAUGCAUUUGGGGCUAAACAAGUUGAAAAUGGAAACGGCUCUGAGUAUGAUGGUCAAGCAUCUUCUGGAAGUUUUGGAUCCAAUUCUGCAGGUCUGGUAGGAACUGUGAGGGAAGAAAGUAUGGUAGUAGCUGGUGACGGAAAGGAGACAAUUCCAUAUGAUUUGCACCUCAUGACAGAACCAUAUGGCGUCCCUUGCAUGGUGGAGAUAUUUCAUUUUUUGUGCUCUUUACUUAAUGUUGUUGAGCACGUGGGAAUGGACCCCCACUCAAAUACCCUAGCAUUUGAUGAGGAUGUGCCGCUUUUUGCCUUGGGAUUAAUCAACUCUGCUAUAGAGUUGGGUGGACCAUCCUUCCGUCGUCACCCAAGGCUAUUGAGCUUGAUUCAGGAUGAAUUAUUUCGUAAUCUGAUGCAAUUUGGGUUGUCAAUGAGUCCACUCAUUCUUUCAAUGGUAUGUAGUAUUGUUCUAAAUCUUUACCAUCAUCUCCGUACAGAACUCAAACUACAGCUUGAAGCUUUUUUUUCCUGUGUGAUUCUGAGGCUUGCACAAGGCAAAUAUGGAGCUUCGUACCAGCAGCAGGAGGUGGCUAUGGAAGCCCUCGUUGAUUUCUGUAGGCAGAAAACAUUUAUGGUGGAAAUGUAUGCUAAUUUAGAUUGUGAUAUAACUUGCCGCAAUGUGUUCGAAGACCUUGCUAAUUUGUUGUCAAAGAGUGCAUUCCCUGUGAACUGCCCUCUGUCUGCAAUGCACAUUCUUGCAUUGGAUGGUUUAAUUGCUGUUAUACAGGGAAUGGCUGAGAGGAUUGGGAAUGGUUCGAUUAGUUCAGAGCAGGCCCCAGUUAUUCUCGAGGAAUAUUUGCCAUUCUGGAUGGUGAAGUGUGAUAACUACGAUGAUCCAGUUCAUUGGGUUCCAUUUGUCAGGCGGAGAAAAUACAUCAAAAGAAGGUUGAUGAUUGGAGCUGAUCACUUCAACCGUGACCCAAAAAAAGGGUUAGAGUUCCUCCAAGGAACACAUCUUUUGCCUGACAAACUUGACCCCCAGAGUGUGGCUUGCUUUUUCAGGUACACUGCUGGAUUAGAUAAGAAUCUUGUUGGGGAUUUCCUGGGAAAUCAUGAUGAAUUCUGUGUUCAGGUUCUUCAUGAAUUUGCUGGGACAUUUGAUUUCCAAGAUAUGAAUCUAGAUACUGCACUAAGACUGUUCCUGGAAACUUUUCGAUUGCCUGGAGAAUCACAAAAGAUAGAAAGGGUGCUGGAGGCAUUCUCUGAGAGAUAUUAUGAGCAAUCCCCACAGAUUCUAGCUAAUAAGGAUGCUGCUUUGUUAUUAUCAUAUUCACUUAUAAUGCUUAACACUGACCAGCACAAUGUCCAAGUAAAGAAAAAGAUGACAGAGGAGGAUUUCAUCCGGAAUAAUCGGCAUAUAAACGGAGGUAACGAUCUACCUCGAGAAUUUCUGUCGGAAUUAUACCACUCAAUAUGCAAGAAUGAGAUCCGCACAACUCCAGAGCAAGGCUUCGGUUAUCCUGAAAUGACCCCGAGUCGGUGGAUAGAUCUGAUGCACAAGUCUAAGAAAACUGCACCAUUCAUUGUAGCUGAUUCUAGAGCAUACCUUGACCAUGAUAUGUUCGCAAUAAUGUCAGGUCCAACAAUUGCUGCUAUCUCUGUUGUAUUUGAUCAUGCUGAACAUGAAGAUGUUUACCAGACCUGUAUUGAUGGAUUCUUAGCUGUUGCCAAGAUUUCAGCAUGCCAUCAUCUUGAAGAUGUACUGGAUGACCUAGUUGUGUCUCUCUGCAAAUUUACCACACUUUUGAAUCCAUCAUCUAUUGAGGAACCAGUGUUAGCUUUUGGUGACGACGCCAAAGCAAGGAUGGCAACUGGAACUGUUUUUACUAUUGCAAAUAGAUAUGGUGACUAUAUUCGCACAGGUUGGAGGAAUAUACUGGAUUGCAUCUUACGACUGCACAAGCUGGGGCUUCUUCCAGCUCGUGUAGCCAGUGAUGCCGCUGAUGAGUCAGAGCUCUCUGCAGACCCCGGUCAUGGAAAGCCAAUUACAAAUUCUUUGUCUUCAGCUCACUUACAGUCCAUAGGAACCCCCAGGAGAUCCUCUGGAUUGAUGGGCCGGUUCAGUCAGCUUUUAUCUCUUGAUACAGAGGAGCCAAGAUCACAGCCCACUGAGCAACAACUUGCUGCUCAUCAACGCACCCUUCAGACAAUUCAAAAGUGCCACAUUGAUAGCAUAUUUACAGAGAGCAAAAUUUUGCAAGCUGAAUCUUUGUUGCAGUUAGCACGAGCCCUAAUUUGGGCUGCAGGGCGGCCCCAGAAAGGAAACAGCUCACCUGAGGAUGAAGAUACUGCCGUUUUCUGCCUGGAGUUGCUUAUUGCUAUUACCUUGAACAACCGUGAUAGGAUUGUACUUCUAUGGCAGGGUGUCUAUGAGUACAUAGCUAAUAUUGUUCAAUCAACCGUUAUGCCUUGUGCCCUGGUUGAAAAGGCUGUUUUUGGGCUUCUUAGAAUUUGCCAAAGGCUUCUUCCUUACAAAGAGAACCUGGCUGAUGAACUCUUGAGGUCCCUGCAACUUGUCUUGAAGCUUGAUGCUCGAGUGGCUGAUGCGUACCGUGAGCAGAUCACACAGGAAGUAAGUCGCCUAGUGAAGGCAAAUGCUACCCAUAUCAGAUCUCAAAUGGGGUGGCGCACGAUAACAUCUUUACUUUCCAUCACAGCCCGACAUCCAGAAGCAUCUGAAGCAGGUUUUGAUGCACUAUUAUUUAUUAUCUCUGAUGGGGCUCACUUGCUCCCAGCCAAUUAUAUUCUCUGCAUAGAUGCUGCGAGGCAGUUUGCCGAGUCACGUGUUGGACAGGCAGAGCGAUCUAUACGUGCACUGGAUCUUAUGUCCGGUUCUGUUGAUUGUUUGGAAAGGUGGACCCGUGAGGCAAAGGAAGCAAUGGGAGAGGAGGAUGCUGGCAAGAUGUUUCAGGAUGUCGGUGAUUUAUGGUUGAGGCUUGUGCAGGGACUCAGAAAAGUUUGUUUGGACCAGAGAGAAGAUGUCAGAAACCAUGCUCUUCUAUCAUUGCAGAAAUGCUUGACUGGAGUGGAUGGCAUCCACGUUUCUCAUGGUUUAUGGUUGCAGUGUUUCGAUCUUGUAAUCUUCACAAUGCUUGAUGACUUGCUUGAAAUUGCUCAGGGACACCAAAAAGACUACCGCAAUAUGGAAGGCACGCUUAUUCUUGCUACAAAGCUCCUUUCCAAAGUGUUCUUACAGUUACUCCCUGAGCUCUCUCAGUUAACUACAUUCUGCAAACUGUGGCUUGGUGUGCUUAGCCGAAUGGAAAAGUAUAUGAAAGUAAAAGUUCGAGGUAAGAAAAGUGAGAAGCAUCAGGAGCUAGUGCUUGAGCUUCUCAAGAACAUCUUGCUCGUAAUGAAGACAAAGGGAGUACUCAUGCAGAGGAGUGCACUAGGAGGAGAUAGUUUGUGGGAACUGACAUGGUUGCAUGUGAAUAACAUUGCGCCAUCUUUGCAGUCCGAGGUUUUCCCUGAUCAGGAUCCAGAGAUCAAGCAUGGUGAAACUGGUAUUGUGUCCGGUGAAACAGUUUCUGUUCCUUCAAAUGAAACAACCACCACUGAAGGAGCUGGUGCAGGAAGUUAACAUUGUGUACAGUUGGAUGGAUGAGAAGGGCUUGUCAUAGCAAGCCGUAGUGUCACACGCAUGAUAUGUUAUGAUGCAUUAGAGUGAGCCUUCCUUAGAAAUGUGGAUAAGUUGUUGAGUUAUAAUUACCUGUUGUUUUAUAUUUGGUUAGUGUUCCAUCUCAUUGCUGCCUCCAUGGAACCUUGCCAAAAUGUUGUUUUAAAAUUGGUAUUCCUUAGAAACUUUAAUUAGUUCGCAGUCUGCAUAUGGUGUUUCUGGCUUUUUGCAACGAGAAGGAUUC